RNAcentral lists this ribosomal RNA (468 nucleotides) under uncultured bacterium. Its description in RNAcentral is "partial 16S ribosomal RNA". It matches the Rfam family "Bacterial small subunit ribosomal RNA", at positions 28 to 507 of the family's 1533-position model. The record is from RNAcentral.
GACGAACGCUGGCGGCGUGCUUAACACAUGCAAGUCGAACGGAAAGGCCCUGCUUUUGUUGGGUGCUCGAGUGGCGAACGGGUGAGUAACACGUGAGUAACCUGCCCUUGACUUUGGGAUAACUUCAGGAAACUGGGGCUAAUACCGGAUAGGAGCUCCUGCUGCAUGGUGGGGGUUGGAAAGUUUCGGCGGUUGGGGAUGGACUCGCGGCUUAUCAGCUUGUUGGUGGGGUAGUGGCUUACCAAGGCUUUGACGGGUAGCCGGCCUGAGAGGGUGACCGGCCACAAUGGGACUGAGAUACGGCCCAGACUCCUACGGGAGGCAGCAGUGGGGAAUAUUGCACAAUGGGCGGAAGCCUGAUGCAGCAACGCCGCGUGCGGGAUGACGGCCUUCGGGUUGUAAACCGAUUUCGCCUGUGACGAAGCGUGAGUGACGGUAAUGGGUAAAGAAGCACCGGCUAACUACGUG